RNAcentral lists this ribosomal RNA (640 nucleotides) under Chrysobothris sp. UPOL RK0813. RNAcentral describes it as "eukaryotic LSU rRNA". It matches the Rfam family "Eukaryotic large subunit ribosomal RNA", at positions 670 to 1259 of the family's 3401-position model. The record is from RNAcentral. Lineage: Eukaryota; Metazoa; Arthropoda; Insecta; Coleoptera; Buprestidae.
GGAGUCUAGCAUGUGCGCGAGUCAUUGGGACGAGCGAAACCUAAAGGCGAAAUGAAAGUGAAGGCGCGCCUUGCGCGCGCCGAGGGAGGAUGGGCCGCGUUCGCCGCGGCCUCGCACUCCCGGGGCGUUUCGUUCUCAUAGCGAGAAGAGGCGCACCCAGAGCGUACACGCUGGGACCCGAAAGAUGGUGAACUAUGCCUGGUCAGGACGAAGUCAGGGGAAACCCUGAUGGAGGUCCGUAGCGAUUCUGACGUGCAAAUCGAUCGUCGGAACUGGGUAUAGGGGCGAAAGACUAAUCGAACCAUCUAGUAGCUGGUUCCCUCCGAAGUUUCCCUCAGGAUAGCUGGCGCUCGCUUUGCGAGUCUCAUCCGGUAAAGCGAAUGAUUAGAGGCAUUGGGGUCGAAACGGCCUCAACCUAUUCUCAAACUUUAAAUGGGUGAGAACUCCGGCUUGCUUAAACCGUGAAGCCGCGAGUUUUAAAUUUUAUUACAAGGAUCAGAGUGCCAAGUGGGCCACUUUUGGUAAGCAGAACUGGCGCUGUGGGAUGAACCAAACGCAGAGUUAAAGCGCCCAAAUCGACGCUUAUGGGAUACCAUGAAAGGCGUUGGUAACUUAAGACAGCAGGACGGUGGCCAUGGAA